RNAcentral lists this ribosomal RNA (460 nucleotides) under uncultured Prevotella sp. Its description in RNAcentral is "bacterial SSU rRNA". It matches the Rfam family "Bacterial small subunit ribosomal RNA", at positions 338 to 795 of the family's 1533-position model. Lineage: Bacteria; Pseudomonadati; Bacteroidota; Bacteroidia; Bacteroidales; Prevotellaceae. The record is from RNAcentral.
CCUACGGGGGGCAGCAGUGAGGAAUAUUGGUCAAUGGGCGAGAGCCUGAACCAGCCAAGUAGCGUGCAGGAUGACGGCCCUAUGGGUUGUAAACUGCUUUUAUGUGGGGAUAAAGUGAGCUACGUGUAGUUUAUUGCAGGUACCACAUGAAUAAGGACCGGCUAAUUCCGUGCCAGCAGCCGCGGUAAUACGGAAGGUCCAGGCGUUAUCCGGAUUUAUUGGGUUUAAAGGGAGCGUAGGCCGUGGAUUAAGCGUGUUGUGAAAUGUAGACGCUCAACGUCUGAAUUGCAGCGCGAACUGGUUCACUUGAGUAUGCACAACGUAGGCGGAAUUCGUCGUGUAGCGGUGAAAUGCUUAGAUAUGACGAAGAACUCCGAUUGCGAAGGCAGCUUACGGGAGCACAACUGACGCUGAAGCUCGAAGGUGCGGGUAUCAAACAGGAUUAGAUACCCUGGUAGUC